This 505-nucleotide ribosomal RNA is filed under the name uncultured bacterium. Its description in RNAcentral is "partial 16S ribosomal RNA". It matches the Rfam family "Bacterial small subunit ribosomal RNA", at positions 28 to 507 of the family's 1533-position model. The record is from RNAcentral.
GACGAACGCUGGCGGCGUGCCUAAUACAUGCAAGUAGAACGCACAGUUUAUACCGUAGCUUGCUACACCAUAAACUGUGAGUUGCGAACGGGUGAGUAACGCGUAGGUAACCUGCCUGGUAGCGGGGGAUAACUAUUGGAAACGAUAGCUAAUACCGCAUAAUAUUAAUUAUUGCAUGAUAAUUGAUUGAAAGAUGCAAUUGCAUCACUACCAGAUGGACCUGCGUUGUAUUAGCUAGUAGGUGAGGUAACGGCUCACCUAGGCGACGAUACAUAGCCGACCUGAGAGGGUGAUCGGCCACACUGGGACUGAGACACGGCCCAGACUCCUACGGGAGGCAGCAGUAGGGAAUCUUCGGCAAUAGACGAAAGUCUGACCGAGCAACGCCGCGGGAGUGAAGAAGGUUUUCGGAUCGGAAAGCUCUGUUGUAAGAGAAGAACGGGUGUGAGAGUGGAAAGUUCACACUGUGACGGUAUCUUACCAGAAAGGGACGGCUAACUACGUG